Molecule: microRNA precursor, 87 nt
Organism: Chlorocebus sabaeus (green monkey)
Lineage: Eukaryota; Metazoa; Chordata; Mammalia; Primates; Cercopithecidae
Source: Ensembl
GUAGCGCUGCGAUCAGCUUUUCGGCAAUACCCGGAUGGAAGUGUAAUGGCCGCCAUCAGGGACUCGCAGGCAAUGGGGACUACGACA